UGUAGCAACCUAUGCUCUGCAGAAAUGUGCAGCUGAUUUUGAAGAUUAAUUCGGUCAAGAAGCCGCUACAACGGUAAAAAAGAAUUUUUACAUGGAUGACUGCCUUAAGUCAACAGCUGAUGAAGACACAGCCGUCAGUCUGUGCACCAACUUAAGAAGCAUGUUGGCAAAAGGUGGUUUUCGGCUAACCAAAUGGUGAAGUAAUAGCAGGGAGUUGCUCAACUCAAUUCCUGAGGAAGAGAGAGCACAAGGAUUCCAGGACCUUGAUUUGAAUAUGAACAGUUUACCAGUCGAGCGAGCAUUGGGAACCCAGUGGUGUGCUGAGACGAAUCAGUUUAAGUUCAAGAUCAAUCUCAAAGAUAGCCCACACACCAGGAGAGGCCUGCUUUCCUUUGUCAGUUCCAUCUUUGACCCUCUGGGGUUUAUAGCUCCAGUGGUCCUACUCGCCAAAAGAAUUCUGCAAGAUUUAUGCCGGCAGAAAUACAGCUGGGAUGAAAGCUUACCAGAAAAUGUAAUUAAAAAUUGGACAAAGUGGACUUCAGUCUUGCAACAGUCAAAUGAGUUUGGCGUUGACAGAUGUAUCAAGACAGAGGAGUUUGGUGCACCAGUCUUCGCUCAGCUACACCAUUUCGCUGAUGCGAGUGAAGGCGCCUAUGGAACGACAAGCUACCUUGUGCUACGCUCUUCUGCAGGUGAAACUCAAUCUACUCUCAUGAUAGCAAAGGCACGGGUAGCGCCCUUGAAAUCUCCAACUAUACCUAGAAUGGAAUUAACUGCAGCCUCAGUUGCAGUCAAGAUGGACAAGCUGUUGAAGAAGGAGCUUAAAUUGAAACUUCACGAAUCAAUAUAUUGGACAGAUAGCACAGUCGUGCUGAAAUACUUGAAUAGUGAAAGUACCAGAUUCAAGACUUUUGUUGCUAAUAGAGUGUUAGCCAUUCUGGAGCACUCUCAAGCUUCACGAUGGAGGUAUGUCAAUACUAGCCUGAAUCCAGCGGAUCACGUCUCCCGAGGUCAGUCUGUAGAAGCGUUCUUGAAAUGUGAAAGCUGGCUUUCAGGACCUGUUUCCUGCUCUGCGGUGAAGACCAGUGGCCAAAGAAUCCAGAUCCUGGAAUGAUAAAUGUGGAUGACCCAGAGGUCAAAAGAGUUCAAUCACAUGUCAUUCAGAUGCAAGAGCGCCAGGAUCCGUUGGGCCAGCUGAUGAUGUAUUACUCAUCCUAGACAAAGCUAAAGCGUGCAGUAGCCUGGUUUGUGAAAUUGAAAGAUCUGCUGAAAGAAUUGAAAGCAAAGAAAAAGACAGAACCAAGCUCAUCAUGUAGUGAAAAAAUGAAUCCGUUCAAGAAAGAUUAUAAAGGAACACGACUUACCUGUGAGGAUUUGACCAUUGCAGAGACAGAAAUAGUGAAAUACACCGAAAAGCAAGGCUUCAAAGAAGAUCUGGGAAUGCUAAAAGAACAACAAAGGGUAAAGAGAAGUAGUUCGCUGAAUCCAGUACUACAAGACGGGCUUAUGAGAGUGGGCGGUAGAUUGAGCUGUGUAGCAAUGCCAGAUGACUCAAAGCAGCAAGCCAUCUUGCCAAAGGACUCGCACAUUACAAGGCUUGUUCUUAGAUACAUUCAUGAUGUUACAGCACAUGCAGGAAGGAAUCACAUGCUGGCUCAAUUGCGGCAGAGAUUCUGGAUCCCUGGAGUAAAUGGAGCCAUUAGGAGAAUCUUGUCUAAGUGCAUCACCUGUAAGGAGCUACACGGCACAGCUGGCAUGCAACUCAUGGCAGAUCUACCAAAAUGCCGGGUCCUGCCUGACGAUCCUCCAUUUACGAGAGUUGGUAUUGACUACUUUGGCCCAUUCCUGGUAAAAAAGGGAAGGGGACAUGUAAAAAGGUACGGUGUCAUCUUUACUUGUCUUGUCAUUCGAGCAGUGCAUUUGGAAGUUGCGUCCUCUCUUGACACUGAUGCAUGCCUGAAUGCAAUUAGAAGAUUCCUAGCCAGAAGAGGACAGGUCAGAGAGAUGUAUUCAGAUAAUGGGACAAACUUCAGAGCAGCUGACAAUGAGAUGAAGAAAAUGAUAAGUGAGUGGAACACCAGUAUGAUUGAAAAACACUUGCAACAAAGGGGUGUACAGUGGCGCUUCAAUCCUCCAACAGGUUCUCACCACGGAGGAACCUGGGAGCGGCUUAUCCGCUCUGUAAGAAAAACUCUGAAUGUCACAGUAAAGGAACAGCUGAUGGAUGAAGGGAGUCUUCACACCCUUUUAUGUGAACCUGAGGCCAUCAUAAACACUAGGCCCAUAACAAAGGCAUCUUCUGACAUGAAUGACUUAGAGGCCUUAACCCCUAAUCACCUUUUGUUACUGAAAGUCAAACCUGAGUUGCCCCCAGGAGUGUUUAACAAAGAUGAUCAGUAUGCAAACCGAAGAUGGAAGCAAGUCCAGUAUCUCAUGGACAUAUUCUGGAAGCGCUGGUGCAGAGAGUACCUCACACAGCUCCAAGAACGGCAACGAUGGUCAACUCCUCAAAGGAACUUCUGUGUCGGUGAUGUGGUGCUGAUCGUGGACAACACGUCACCCAGAAACUCCAGGCAGCUUGGAAAGAUCAUAGAGAAUUUUUCCUGACAGGAGAGGAUUCGUUCGGCAGGCGAAGGUCAAGACCCGAGCCACUGAACUUUUACGCCCAAUAACAAAGCUGUGCCUGCUGCAAGAGGCAGAAGAGGAUUAAUUGACUGUUCUGUGAAUGUAGUUAUGGACUGAAAGUGUUGUGCAGUUUUGAGUUAGCUUAACUAAAAGCAAGAUAUGUGAAUUAGUGUAUCAUUAGGCUCCUUCAGUUUAAGUUUUGAAUAAUUGUCUCAAUGGCAUUGGUAACAAUUAGGGGCCGGAAAUGUAGGAGCCUAAAUGCAGCCUAAAUGCAGUUUAUUUAAAAUGUUAAAAUGAUUUUACUUUACAAUAAGAUAAAUAUGAUUUAUAAUUUCUUUUUUAAAUUUUUUUCCAGAUUUUUCCCUUUUUGGUAGCCAAUUGUACCUCGUCUGAUUCAAUUGGAGGUAGUCGUAUUAGAUGUACCCCCGUACCCCGUCCCUCAGCAGCCCGAAUGAGAGCAACACACCUUCUUCAAGCCGUCUCGUCUCAUGCCCGUUGCUGUGAUUCCGAGGCGCCCAAGCUUGCAGGAAAUUCCAGAAGAUCGCCAGAAAAAGAUCUACGCACUGCUCAUCGCAAUAGCUGACAAGUCAAGAAAAAAUCAAAGGACUCUGGGCUUGCGCAGUCCAAUCCAGGAGUUUCGUGACACUCAAAUUCCCUUUACUUACAUAGGGUUUGGUGGCCAGUACCUCACACACUCAUUUGGUAACACCUGUGUUCUUGACUCGCUGCUCGCAGGUUUAAACAUUGCUGCUAGUGUGCACCCCAACAUUAGGGAGCUUUUUAUGGAAGACAACACUAUCGAUGCAGUCAUGACCCUCCUGGAUAGUGGGAAGUAUGCAGAGGCAAAAGCCCUAUGGCUCAUUAACUUAGAUUUUCGGCUGGGCCGCAAAAAAUACUUCACAGAGAGAGACUACAUUGACAUCAGGGGCUACGUCAAAGACCACCUUCCAAACCUUUUGGAUCUGACCAGCGCCAAGUUUCACUACGACGACGAGAGGAGGAGUCCCAAUCCUGAAGAUGUUGUUUACAUGAAGACAGUGAGCAAGUUUGAGGAUUUUGGUGACGUGAGAGUGCUGGGAUCCAGAGGAAAUCCAGAACUCAUUCUUGUGGACGUUGACAGCCGAAUGGAUAAAUUCCCGCCUGUCAUGAUCACUGAUGACUAUGAAAGGGACUUCAGGCUGCAGUUUCUUCUCCUGGGCAUAAUAACUGCAAACUCCAACCACAUGGUGCUGUGCACUAGCCUGGAUGUUGGAUGGUGGCUCUACGAUGCCAUGGAGCCUUCACUGUUCAGGAACGUCAACUUGGAAGAUAUACAGACCCAGGGUUACGUGGUUAACCUGGCAGCCUAUGUCAAAGUGCCAGCAAAUAAUGAGAAGCAAGACUGAAGACACUCUGCACUCCUCAGAGAGAGCACAACUUCCUGCUCUCUCCUUGUAUGUAUGUGUCUGUUCUAGG
Conger conger (European conger) is the source of this 4080-nucleotide RNA transcript. RefSeq lists it as uncharacterized. The record is from RefSeq and is a predicted model, not a curated record. NCBI's taxonomy places the organism in Eukaryota, Metazoa, Chordata, Actinopteri, Anguilliformes, Congridae. The transcript is spliced from 6 exons.